GCGAAUAGCUCACUACAACAGCUAUAAUUUACUUGUUCUAUUCCUUUAAACGGAUAACUGCGGUAAUUCUGGAGCCAAUACGUGCUAAAAGCCGAAUUCAGCAAUGAGUUCGGUGCACUUAUCGGAGCAAAACCCUUCCUGGUUUUAUGCUAACUCUGGAUAACACUGCUUAUCGCACGACCUCGUGUCGGCGAAGUAACAUUCAAGUAUCUGCCUUAUCAACUUUCGAUGGUAGUGUAUUGGACUGCCAUGGUGUUGACGGGUAACGGAGAAUCAGGGUUCGACUCCGGAGAGGGAGCCUUAGAAACGGCUACCAUGUCUAAGGACAGCAGCAGGCGCGCAACUUAUCCACUGUUCAUUGAACGAGAUAGUGACGAGAAAUAACAAGUCCGUUCUCUAUGAGGUCGGACAUUGGAAUGGAUGGAAUCUAAACAAUUCCAUGAGUACCCACGAGAGGGCAAGUCUGGUGCCAGCAGCCGCGGUAAUUCCAGCU
Molecule: ribosomal RNA, 493 nt
Filed under: Aphelenchoides sp. 10 JH-2012
Lineage: Eukaryota; Metazoa; Nematoda; Chromadorea; Rhabditida; Aphelenchoididae
Description: SSU rRNA
Rfam family: Eukaryotic small subunit ribosomal RNA
Source: RNAcentral